Molecule: long non-coding RNA, 316 nt
Filed under: Ananas comosus (pineapple)
Lineage: Eukaryota; Viridiplantae; Streptophyta; Magnoliopsida; Poales; Bromeliaceae
Description: long non-coding RNA (ACOM_LNC027348)
Source: RNAcentral
AAAAAAAAGUAUAUAUCAUAUAUUUUACUCAUCCAAUGAUUGUAAUAUUUUUUCCAGAUAUAUCAUGAUGGAUAAAAAAAACUCCAUUGAUAGUAUCAAGCAGCUUGUGCUAUCGAGUAUUCGACCGUUAAAUGAUAGGAUAUGCUGUUAGGAUGACAGUGGUUCUCUAUAAUUUAGUCAGUGGUUGGUUGGAUUGUAUAAUUUAACGGAUGGAAAUGAUCAGAAGAUAGAUCUAAUAAUAAAAACUUUGAUAGUUUUAAAAAUUUGAUACUAUCGAUAGUAUAGUAGCCGAACAGUAUUUACGUACAUGAGCAUG